This 1448-nucleotide ribosomal RNA is filed under the name uncultured organism. RNAcentral describes it as "bacterial SSU rRNA". It matches the Rfam family "Bacterial small subunit ribosomal RNA". The record is from RNAcentral.
AGGGUUUGAUCAUGGCUCAGGAUGAACGCUAGCGGCGCGCUUAAUGCAUGCAAGUCGAGCGAUGAGGUCUCCUUCGGGGGACACAUCAGCGGCAGACGGGUGAGUAACACGUAAGUAACCUACCCCAGAGACAGGGAUAACCCUAGGAAACGAGGGCUAAUACCGGAUGACCUCCGGAAGGAGGAAAGGCUCAGGCGCUCUGGGAGGGGCUUGCGGCCCAUCAGCUAGUUGGUAGGGUAACGGCCUACCAAGGCGAAGACGGGUAGGGGGUGUGAGAGCACGGCCCCCCACAAUGGGACUGAAACACGGCCCAUACUCCUACGGGAGGCAGCAGCAGGGAAUAUUGCACAAUAGGCGGAAGCCUGAUGCAGCGACGCCGCGUGAGUGAAGAAGGCCUUCGGGUCGUAAAGCUCUUUUGUAGGGGAAGAGGAAGGACGGUACCCUAAGAAGAAGCGUCGGCUAACUACGUGCCAGCAGCCGCGGUAAGACGUAGGACGCGAGCGUUAUCCGGAAUUACUGGGCGUAAAGGGCCAGCAGGCGGCUUGGUAAGUUGUGCGUGAAAGCCUCGUGCUCAACGCGAGGAAGCCGGACAAUACUGUCAAGCUAGAGGGCAUCAGAGGGGAGUGGAAUUCCCGGAGUAGCGGUAAAAUGCGCAGAUAUCGGGAGGAACACCGAUGGCGAAGGCAGCUCCCUGGGAUGCACCUGACGCUAAGCGGCGAAAGCUAGGGGAGCGAACAGGGAUAGAGACCCUGGUAGUCCUAGCUGUAAACGCUGGGUGCUAGGUGUGGGACGUAGAAGUUCCGUGCCGGAGCAAACGCGAUAAGCACCCCGCCUGGGAAUUACGGUCGCAAGGCUAAAACUCAAACGAAUUGACGGGGCCCCGCACAAGCAGCGGAGCGUGUGGUUCAAUUCGAUGCUACACGAAGAACCUUACCUGGGUUUGACAUGUACGUGGUACGAGGGCGAAAGCCCAAGGACCCUUCGGGGAGCGUACACAGGUGCUGCAUGGCUGUCGUCAGCUCGUGCCGUGAGGUGUCGGGUUAAGUCCCGUAACGAGCGCAACCCUUGCCCUUAGUUACAAGUGUCUAAGGGGACUGCCGGCGGAAAGCCGGAGGAAGGUGGGGAUGACGUCAAGUCAGCAUGGCCCUUAUGUCCAGGGCUACACACACGCUACAAUGGUCGGUACAAUGGGCAGCCAAGCCGCGAGGCGGAGCGAAUCCCACCAAAGCCGGUCGUAGUUCGAAUUGCAGGCUGCAACUCGCCUGCAUGAAGCUGGAGUUGCUAGUAACCGCGCGUCAGCCAUAGUGCGGUGAAUACGUUCCCGGGCCUUGUACACACCGCCCGUCACACCAUGAGAGUUAGUAACACCCGAAGCCAACGAGCUAACCUUUGGAGGCAGUUGUCGAAGGUGGGACUGAUGAUUGGGGUGAAGUCGUAACAAGGUAACC